This 72-nucleotide transfer RNA is filed under the name Valvatida sp. 1-EK-2003. RNAcentral describes it as "tRNA-Gln". It matches the Rfam family "tRNA". Rfam says of the family: Transfer RNA (tRNA) molecules are approximately 80 nucleotides in length. The record is from RNAcentral. Lineage: Eukaryota; Metazoa; Echinodermata; Asteroidea; Valvatida.
UAGAAAGUAGUAUAAUCGGUAAAACGGAGAAUUUUGAUUUCUCAAACAUAAGUUCUACCCUUAUCUUUCUAA